RNAcentral lists this ribosomal RNA (431 nucleotides) under Burkholderia sp. GR1-E10. RNAcentral's name for it is "bacterial SSU rRNA". It matches the Rfam family "Bacterial small subunit ribosomal RNA", at positions 24 to 457 of the family's 1533-position model. Lineage: Bacteria; Pseudomonadati; Pseudomonadota; Betaproteobacteria; Burkholderiales; Burkholderiaceae. The record is from RNAcentral.
UCAGAUUGAACGCUGGCGGCAUGCCUUACACAUGCAAGUCGGACGGCAGCGCGGGCUUCGGCCUGGCGGCGAGUGGCGAACGGGUGAGUAAUACAUCGGAACGUAUCCUGGAGUGGGGGAUAGCCCGGCGAAAGCCGGAUUAAUACCGCAUACGCUCUGAGGAGGAAAGCGGGGGACCUUCGGGCCUCGCGCUCAAGGGGCGGCCGAUGGCGGAUUAGGUAGUUGGUGGGGUAAAGGCCUACCAAGCCGACGAUCCGUAGCUGGUCUGAGAGGACGACCAGCCACACUGGGACUGAGACACGGCCCAGACUCCUACGGGAGGCAGCAGUGGGGAAUUUUGGACAAUGGGGGCAACCCUGAUCCAGCAAUGCCGCGUGUGUGAAGAAGGCCUUCGGGUUGUAAAGCACUUUUGUCCGGAAAGAAAUCAUCGG